CAAAGCAGAAACUUUCAAAAUCACGAUCAGAGGGAAAGGGAAAACAAAAAGGCGGCAAACAUUGAAAGAGAGCACCAGCAAGGAAAUCAAAUCCAUCCCCGGAUAUGAAAUAUAAAAAUAACAAAUAUAAUAAUUUCCAAAACCCUUCCCCUUAAGUUCUCUCUUCAUAUCCGCCCACUCCCCCCUCUCAUCAUCCAGAGAGAGAGAGAGAGAGAGAGAGAGUUUCCGUGUCUCGAUCGUGCUCUUACUUCUCAGAAAAUCAGCGAAAACGAGUUGGCGUUGAUGAGAAUUUAAGCGCAGAGAAAAAACGAUUAGAUACACCGUGCUGGAAUCGAUCGAGCUAAGUUUUUUUAGCGUAAUUUAAAUUACCGAGCAUUAUUUUUUCGUGUUUUUGUUUUUCUUCUGAAUAUGUCUCUGCUUUAUUUUUUUAAAACGGCGACGAGAAGUUAAUAUCAGUUUUUGUUAGAAAUC
Long non-coding RNA from Populus trichocarpa (black cottonwood), 471 nucleotides. RefSeq lists it as uncharacterized. The record is from RefSeq and is a predicted model, not a curated record. NCBI's taxonomy places the organism in Eukaryota, Viridiplantae, Streptophyta, Magnoliopsida, Malpighiales, Salicaceae. The transcript has 3 exons.